This 481-nucleotide ribosomal RNA is filed under the name uncultured bacterium. Its description in RNAcentral is "bacterial SSU rRNA". It matches the Rfam family "Bacterial small subunit ribosomal RNA", at positions 30 to 507 of the family's 1533-position model. The record is from RNAcentral.
AUUGAACGCUGGCGGAAUGCUUUACACAUGCAAGUCGAACGGUAGAGGGGGCAACCCCUCGAGAGUGGCGAACGGGUGAGUAAUAUAUCGGAACGUGCCCAGUCGUGGGGGAUAACGUAGCGAAAGUUACGCUAAUACCGCAUACGAUCUACGGAUGAAAGCGGGGGAUCGCAAGACCUCGCGCGAUUGGAGCGGCCGAUAUCAGAUUAGGUAGUUGGUGGGGUAAAGGCUCACCAAGCCAACGAUCUGUAGCUGGUCUGAGAGGACGACCAGCCACACUGGAACUGAGACACGGUCCAGACUCCUACGGGAGGCAGCAGUGGGGAAUUUUUGGACAAUGGACGCAAGUCUGAUCCAGCCAUUCCGCGUGCAGGAUGAAGGCCCUCGGGUUGUAAACUGCUUUUGUACGGACGAAAAGGUUUCUAUUAAUACUAGGAGCUCAUGACGGUACCGUAAGAAUAAGCAACCGGCUAACUACGUG